ACCCCCAAUAACAGGAAUAUGUAUGUAUAAAUAUAUGGGUACCCUAAUGCCCCAUACACUGACCCCCAAUAAUGACUGCCUGUGUUUCCUUCACACACAUUAUUUGCUACGUUGUUACUAAUUGCUGUGUUUUUGUUCCCUUCCAUAUAACGACAGUAACGACCCUGUACCACAAUGGCGCCCAGACUCUUUGAUUGUAUCCUUGACUGUGUGAGAGGUGUCUGCACACGGCUCGGGUACAAAAAGGAGACUGAAAAAGUUGCCAAAUGGGAGGCGGUUCGUUACGUUGUAAAGGACGAAUCCAUAACUUUUAUCCCUACUGGGGCAAGUUAUUAGGAUUCGUAGGUAAAUAGGUCAAUUAGGUUAGGGGAAAAAAAAAAUUAGGUUAAUUUAGCAAAUAGAAAAAAA
Molecule: long non-coding RNA, 408 nt
Organism: Xenopus tropicalis (tropical clawed frog)
Lineage: Eukaryota; Metazoa; Chordata; Amphibia; Anura; Pipidae
Exons: 3
Source: RefSeq, a predicted model, not a curated record